RNAcentral lists this long non-coding RNA (2339 nucleotides) under Homo sapiens (human). RNAcentral describes it as "non-protein coding lnc-NOCT-7:1". The record is from RNAcentral. Lineage: Eukaryota; Metazoa; Chordata; Mammalia; Primates; Hominidae.
UAAUGAAGGAACUGACAGGCUGUAGGAAUUACUGAGCUAUUAGAUCAUCUCAGAGAAAGUGUGAUACUCAAUUGGGAGGAGUGAGUAUUUUGACUGUUCCUUUGCUCAGCAUUCUUGAACAGAACACUCUCUACUUCCCAUACCAGAUGGAGGUGUGGCAGCAUAUUGAAGUCAUUGGCAAAGAAGGAAGAGGAAUAUUGUAAAUCAUUCCAAAGUGGAGACACCUUGAGGGAAUCCCUGGGGAAUUAGCCAAGAAUGUGUUGUAGAAGGAAAGGGAACCAUAAUAUUUAUCAGUUGUUCUUAGUCAGAAGAUGAAAAGAAAUGCAGAUAUAUAAAGAUGAAAAGAAAUGUCGGAAAGCCUGAUUUAUAUUAUGAGCAAAACAAAUGUCAUUGUGUCUUUCUAAUAAUUAUGAACCCUAGACAAAAAGUGGAUACGUUUUAAAAUCCCCAUGUUGAAACUGGAAUUACUAUUGCAAUAUACCUCAGUAAUGCAAAGACUGAUUUAAUUUCUCUCACAAAAGAUAAAACAAUUUAUCGAUGGCAUUGACCGGGGAAGUGGCUUGCUAGGUAUACUGUGAUGAAGAAAAUAUUCUUGCCUUAUUUUAUUUUUGAAUUGAUUUCUAAUUUAAAGAAUAGUAUUUUUUUUAUCAUUUGCCAAUAAGGCAGCCUUAAACUAUUGUCUACAUUGUAUCAUGAGAGAUGAUAAUAUACACUGGGGUUCAGUAUCAGUUAAUGUGGCCAUAAGUACCUUGAGAAAAUAAUUAACAUUAAAGUAGGAGAAAAGAAACUGGUAAGGGUAAUUGCCAAAACCCUCAUUAGCAAGAACACUAAAUAUUCAAUAUAAUGAAGGAAUAAUAAAGUAAAGAUAACACCGGUUCUUAUGGAAUGUUAUAUAUUUAAUUCCAGGAUGGGAGGACCAUUUUGACUGGCAACAUUACAAAAUCCUGUUUCCCACUCUUUCCCUUAGCAACUGGGAAUUUUCAUCAAGUCCCCGCAGAAGAUUGUGCUUCGGUUCAAUUAUGACAUAGAUCAUUUGGAAGUGUAGCUUAUUUUUAAUUUUGAUGAUUUUACUUACUCAAUAAGCACACUACAUAAGAAUAAUCCUAAUUAUUCUGUUUUUGAGGACACUAUUUUCAUUUAUUAACCACCUAUGCAAUGAAGAAUUGAAGAUCUAUCUAUACUAGGGUGACCAACUGUCCCAAUUCACCUAGGACUGAGAGGGCUCCCACGACAUGUGACUUUCAGUGCUAAAACUGGAAAAGACCUGGGAAAACUAACAAAUUGUUCAGCCUAAUCUAUAGCCAUGGGUCAGAAUAGCAAGGUAACAAUUAGGAUAAACAACUCUAUAAGGUAAAUGUAGCAGACAAAUCAGCUACUUCAAUGGGAAAAAAGUUUGAUUUAUGACCAAAUUGUCAAAGAAAGUCUGGUAAGAACUAAGGAACAAUGGAAAAUUAAUCUCUUGUGCCUAGAGAAUUGGGAACUUGGACUAAAUGCUAUUAUUGGCAAGAGUUUUACUUCAUUCUUCACAGUGUGAUUCUCAUCCAGCUCUUUCAAAAGGGUAACGAUAUUUAAUACAAUAACUGGAAGUAAAGUGGGUCAUAAUUAUGAUCAUAAUGAGGAUACAUCUUCUAAUGCUCCUCUUGAAUGUGUUUAAUACAUCCAUAAGUUAUUUGAAAGAGAGAUAAAUUCUGUCCUCUACAUCUCAUGGUACUCUGUGCAGUGUUGUGCAAACUCUUCAUCAGUUAAUCAUCAUUAAGUCCCCUUUUGUUGAAGACUUAUUUUAUGUCAGUCACUGUGCUAAGCACUUCAACUGUAUUACAUCAUUUAAUUCUCAUGACACUCUUUUGGGGGAUGUGGUGUGCCCCGAAACCAGCUUGCCUCCACUUAAGAGAACUGAUUGGAUACGUCUCUUCCCAUCUCCUUUUUCAGAGAUUCCAUGUUUUUAGCUUGAAAUGGGUCAUGGUCCAAGCAGUUACACUAUAGAAAUUGGAAAAAUACUGAAAAAUAGGGGACUGUUUGUUUGUUUUGAUUAGCUGCAUUAUUAGCACUACUGGAGAUACGUAUCAUUACCUCCAUUUUCAGAUGAGCUAUAUGAGUUCAAAAAAGCUAAGGAACGGCCCAAAUGCACUCAUCUAAUAAAUAAUACAGCUGUCUGCAUGAUUCUAAUGCAUACAUGUUUUAUAACCAGGGUACUUUGCCUUUCUCAUGAAAGUACUAAAAUUUAUUUUUUUCUGCAAUGUUGUAAAAUUGCUGUCUGUACUAUAUGACAGAGAAAUCACAUCACCAUUUAUGUCCCUCUGUACUUUUGGACAAUUUUAAAUUAGUUUCUCUGACUUCAC